UUGGUUUUCGGGUGGUUUUGGGUGGGGUUAAAGGUUCCUGGGCCGCGCGAAAAGGGGAGGGGAGUCGUCGGAGAAGGAGGUUAGAUUUCUGGUUGGUUAGUGUUGCGGUCAGCGGUGGCCGUUAGGUGGUGAGAUGGGACGUUUCAAGAUGCGGGGAAAGAGAGAAGGUGGGGCGGAGGAUGUUGGGCGUCGCCGAAUGAGGGGGGGAGGUCGGGCGACUUUGGCUGAGGCCUGGCCGCCGGCAGGGGGAGGGGCUGCUGGUGGCUAGGUUGGGUGGGGGAAGGGCCGGUUUGAUUUUAUUAUUUUAAAAUAAAAUAUUUUUAUAAUAAUUUAAUUAUUAAAAAAAAUAAAAACUAACUAUAGUUAAGAAUUUUUAUUACAAUAACACUUAUCAAUGGUAACCAAUAAUUUAGAUUCACCAAAGAUAAUAAGAAUUUUUGCAAUUUACCACUGAGAAAAGUAAAAAUUAGAGGUUUACCAAAGAGAAUUUCCCAAGCUUUUUUCUUUUCUUUUUUAUUUUUCUGAAAUAGAAGAUAUUAAUAAGUUGGGGGAGAGUAAACGAACAAACAACAUUCAUAUAUGUAUUGAAUUAAAGGUAGUGUUUUUUUUUUUUUUUGGAAAUUCUACACUAUACUCCUGAGGUGUUGGCUUUUCCAAGUUGUGUUCCUCCCUUUAAAAAGUUUCACGCUAUAACCUCAUGGUCCCACAGGUGAUUACGUUGUAACAUUACUUAGUCACCAUAAAUGACGGACGUUAGAGAUAGUUAAUGCCGCCAUUUAACUUUUGUACUUUCCCUCUAUUUCCAUUUAAGUCCCCCCCCCCCCGAGUCUCCGUGUUUCAUUCAUUCAUUCAUGACCUCACUUGUUUCUGAUCAAAAACCCUAAAUUCUAAGAGUGAUUUGCACGUUGAGAAAUUUUGCUGGGAAAAAAUAUGAAGAGCGAAAUCACCAUUUGGUUGGAGAUAAAGUGGGUGAAGGUUCUGGUCAUUUCUGCAUAAAAGGAUUGUCAAAGAUGGAUGAGAGAGUUCUUAAAAUUCAUUAUCGUGCUAAGUGUGUUCGUGUAAAGGUUGAUGAUAUAGAUAGAUGUUUGUUAAAUGAUGUGCUUAAUGAGAUGUGUGAGGAGUUUAAAAAGAGUGAAGUUAAGUUGCCAACAUACCCUGGGUUACACCUGACAUUAGAGGUAAAGCACUGAAUAACCUACUUUGGGAGAAAUUUGCUUGGUGUGAGAAUGGCACGUUCAAGCUUAUACAAGAUGAAGGGUUUGGCUAAGGAAAUGAUACAAGGUGGACACGAUGAUUCCUAUGGGGAGCUACCUGGAUAUUGUGAGAUGAUUAAGGACAGAAACCAAGGUUCUAUAGCAUUUUGCUUGUGGAAAACACUACAACAAUCUGAGAGAGUUCUUCAAUUCUGAUGCAUAUUCAUAAGUUUUGCUGCUCAGUUCAAUGAGGUCAUAAAUGGUUGUAGGGGGCUUAGUAUGUGUGAAUGGUUGCCACUUGAAAGGCAACUAUUGUGGAGUACUACUCUCUGCUGUCUCAUUACCUGGGAAUAAUGAGAUAUUCCCUCUUGCAGUAGUAGUGAUUGACUUAAAGAAUAAAAGUAGCCAGAGUUGGUUCUUUACUCAUUUGAAGAACAUACUCACUUAGAUAGGAAGAGAUGACUUGACAAUAAUGAGUGAUAGGUAUAAGGUGUUUCUACUAACUCUCAUUUGCAUUUUACCAUGACUUGAAUACUUGUUUACUAGCUGUCCUUUUUUCUUAUAUAUGUCAAGGGAAUUGAUCCAUCAUUGGAUCAAAUUUGGCCAACUUGUGACAGAAGGUAUUGUGCAAGGCAUCUAUCCAAGAACUUCAAGACUGGGUAUCCUGGUGUGGUCAUGCACAAACUCUUCUGGGCUAUGACUAAUGCAUAUUCAGCAUUUAGUUUCAAAAAAGCUCUCUGACAAGUUCAGAAAGCUGCAUGCAAUGACUUGGAUCAGAUAAAUGGUUCAAAGACUUGGGCCCACUAUAGAGAUGGACAAAAUUUAAGUUUGACCAAAACUUACGCUGUGAUGAGAACACCAACAACUUUGUGGAGAGCUUCAAUAGUACCAUAGGAGUUGACAAGACAUACCCUAUUUUAACUUUACUAGAAGGUGUCAGAAGAAUUGCUAUGGUCAGACAUCCAACAAGACAACAACUAUCAGAGCAAUGGAAGGAAGAGGGAGUGUGUCCAAACAUUAGGGAAAUAGUUAGAGUUGUAAGAAGGGAGUCAAGACUUUGUCAUGCAUAUCCAUCAGGGAGGGGAGAGUAUGAGAUAGAGUAUGAGAUAUCAGAUGGGAGAAGCAUGCAACUUGUUUCUCUAAACACUAAUGCUUUGUUUGGAUGGGAAACAUGGAAGGAAAGGAAGGGGAGGGAUAAAAGAGGAAGGGAAAAG
Molecule: long non-coding RNA, 2407 nt
Organism: Chenopodium quinoa (quinoa)
Lineage: Eukaryota; Viridiplantae; Streptophyta; Magnoliopsida; Caryophyllales; Amaranthaceae
Exons: 3
Source: RefSeq, a predicted model, not a curated record